RNAcentral lists this long non-coding RNA (403 nucleotides) under Lotus japonicus. RNAcentral describes it as "long non-coding RNA (LJAP_LNC001793)". The record is from RNAcentral. Lineage: Eukaryota; Viridiplantae; Streptophyta; Magnoliopsida; Fabales; Fabaceae.
AAGUAAUAUUUAGCCACAGGUUGAUUCAAACGUGGAUUGACGUUGAGUUCAACGGUAAUCCAGGAAGCUCUAAGGCCGGAACACUUACAGAAACAUGUCUUCCCCUCAUAACUCUUCACCUGAUAACUCCACACCUGACAAUUCCACACCUGAUAAUUCCACCCCAAAUAACUCGGUUCCUGAUAACUCCACGCCUGAUAAUUCCACCCCUGAUAAUUCAACCCCUGAUAAUUCCACUCCUGAUAAUUCAACCCCUGAUAAUUCCACCUGAGAUAACUCAUCAUCUUCUUCUCAUUCCACUCCUUCAGUGCUAAAUCAAUCUCCAACACCGCCUUCCGGGUCACACAAAUCGUUAUCAAAUCAAGGCAAGGACAUCGACACCAAGGCAAUAAUUGGAGGUGCA